This 431-nucleotide ribosomal RNA is filed under the name uncultured bacterium. RNAcentral's name for it is "partial 16S ribosomal RNA". It matches the Rfam family "Bacterial small subunit ribosomal RNA", at positions 29 to 507 of the family's 1533-position model. The record is from RNAcentral.
AACGAACGCUGGCGGCAGGCUUAACACAUGCAAGUCGAGCGCCUCGCAAGGGGAGCGGCAGACGGGUGAGUAACGCGUGGGAACGUACCCUUAUCUUCGGAAUAGCUCUGGGAAACUGGAAGUAAUACCGAAUGUGCCCUUAGGGGGAAAGAUUUAUCGGAUAAGGAUCGGCCCGCGUUGGAUUAGCUAGUUGGUGGGGUAAAGGCCUACCAAGGCGACGAUCCAUAGCUGGUCUGAGAGGAUGAUCAGCCACAUUGGGACUGAGACACGGCCCAAACUCCUACGGGAGGCAGCAGUGGGGAAUAUUGGACAAUGGGCGCAAGCCUGAUCCAGCCAUGCCGCGUGAGUGAUGAAGGCCUUAGGGUUGUAAAGCUCUUUCACCGGAGAAGAUAAUGACGGUAGCCGGAGAAGAAGCCCCGGCUAACUUCGUG